UGCUCAGAUAUAUGUUGCUUUGCCUGGCAAAAGAUACAAGAGUUCAUCCAGAUGUAAGCCAAAAGUAAUGUUGCACUAUGCAUAAAAAUGAACACAGCCUGAAUUGUCUUCCAGUUUCAAACCGGCAAUUAUGACACUUCAGUGGCAGUGUUAGCCUUUAAGGCAGGUAACAUUACAUAUUUAAGGAAUAAGGAUGGUUCACCAUAUGAGGUCAAUAAAAAUUUAAUAGCAACUUUCUGCCAUUUUAUUCAUCUUCUGAUCCUAACAAGAGAGGAAACAUCAAAAUGAAUAAUAUUGCCAGACAUUUGACUAUUAGGGAAAAAUAUUUAAAGUUUAGUAUAAUAAAUUAUCAUCUAUAUUGCAUUCUGAAUUUCACUUUCUACUAUGUAUGCAAACACACUUUUGACACAAAUUUCUGUCUGCCUUGAGAUUUUUUUUGAAAGAUGAGCAGCUUUUGAUCCACUAGACGAGUGAAACCUUGUAGCUGGUCAUUGGACAAGAAACCGAUGCUUUAAAGGAUCCAGCCCAUGAACAUGGUCUCUAAAAUCAUCAUAGCUAGAUUGAACCUUAAGGUAGAGCCACAUACCAGGAGACUAUGUUAAAACUUACAAGGGUAACCUUUAACCCUUGAUUUUUUUUAACCUUCUACCAAACACAUCAUAAGGAGUUUUCUGUUGCAAAGGCUUUAGCUGCUACUGUGGGAUUGAAAUGAUUUUUUGACAAUACCUUUGAUUUCCUGAGGUGGAAGUCAAUCCCUUUUGCAUUUUAGCACAUUAAUUAUAAGCCAAUUUGUUGAUAGUCAUGACAAUGAUAAAUUAAUAGCAACUUAUGUGUCAACUUAACCUGACAAAGAAUGAAAAUUUGUGUCUGCUACAACAACAGCAAAUGAUAAAGGAGUUGAAGUCUUAUUUCUGCUAAUUCAAGGUUAUAUCACAAUUUUUUUUUUCCAUUCCCUUCUUUUUCCCUGUCUUUACAUAUGAAGAAGAUAUGUACACUUCCUGCAUAUUGUCCCUAUCUUUCUUAUAAAAAUUUCUCAUAUUUUUAGAGGUUGGCCAUUUGGUUGUUGCAAAAGAAAGCUGUGCCACGGAGGAUUGAUGAGGCUACACAUGCAACAAUUGUAAAAUGCUCAGAAUCUAUGUGGAAGCUAACAUACUAUGCUACUGUUGAAGUAUGUGUUCUUAAAAUUACCUACAAUGAACCAUGGUUCAGAAACACAAGAGAAUACUUCAGAGGUUGGCCAGAUCAAGAAUUAAAGCUUCCCCUAAAACUUUUCUACAUGUGCCAAUGUGGAUUCUACAUCUACAGUAUUGCUGCACUCCUUACAUGGGAAACUAGAAGGAAGGACUUUGCUGUAAUGAUGUCUCAUCAUGUAGUUACAGUUAUACUGAUUGGAUACUCUUACAUUACAAGAUUUUUUCGGAUAGGCUCAAUUAUCCUUGCCCUGCAUGAUGCAAGCGAUGUAUUGAUGGAAGCUGCAAAAGUUUUUAAAUAUUCUGGGAAGGAGCUUGGAGCAAGCAUUUGCUUUGGAUUAUUUGCCAUCUCGUGGCUCCUACUACGACUAGUAUUCUUUCCAUUUUGGGUAAUCAAGACUUCAUGCUAUGAUGUUGUGGACUUCUUAGAUUUGUCAAAGGCCUAUCCCCUUUCACUGUACUAUGUUUUCAAUACAAUGCUGCUGAUGCUACUUGUGUUCCACAUCUACUGGUGGGUUCUGAUAUACUCAAUGAUAAUGAAACAGCUAAGAAAUAGAGGAAGAGUGGGCGAAGAUAUAAGAUCUGAUUCAGAAGAUGAUGAUUAGAUAGAAGAUUUUGUUUAAGAUUUUGGUUCAGUGGCGGCUGACAGGAGAUUCAUUCGACUUUUCAUUUGAUUUCUACAGUUGAUUUUUUUUCUUGGUGUAAAGGAAAGGAAGUAGGACCACCAAGCAUCGCUUUCUUAUUUCUUUUGGUGUAUAAAUAAUAGGCAAUCCUGUAUAAUUGUUCGCUUCUUCGAUGAACCCUCGUUCUGAGAUUCGUCCUAUUUGCUAAAUGGAGGGGGAAAAAAAAACUUGUGUAACAAUUUUUUACAAUUUUCUUGGUGUCUAGUUGUUAAGAAUCUAUACAGCUAUAUAACACAUUAGGUCUAUAAUAAUAACUGAUGAAGUUAGCUAGUAGUUCAAUAUUCAUGA
RNAcentral lists this unclassified non-coding RNA (2161 nucleotides) under Hevea brasiliensis (rubber tree). The record is from RNAcentral. Lineage: Eukaryota; Viridiplantae; Streptophyta; Magnoliopsida; Malpighiales; Euphorbiaceae.